Molecule: ribosomal RNA, 253 nt
Filed under: uncultured bacterium
Lineage: Bacteria
Description: partial 16S ribosomal RNA
Rfam family: Bacterial small subunit ribosomal RNA
Source: RNAcentral
UACGGAGGGUGCGAGCGUUAAUCGGAAUUACUGGGCGUAAAGCGCACGCAGGCGGUUUGUUAAGCUAGAUGUGAAAGCCCCGGGCUCAACCUGGGACGGUCAUUUAGAACUGGCAGACUAGAGUCUUGGAGAGGGGAGUGGAAUUCCAGGUGUAGCGGUGAAAUGCGUAGAUAUCUGGAGGAACAUCAGUGGCGAAGGCGACUCCCAGGCCAAAGACUGACGCUCAUGUGCGAAAGUGUGGGUAGCGAACAGG